UACAGAGGUCUCAAGCGUUGUUCGGAAUCACUGGGCGUAAAGGGUGCGUAGGCGGCGGAGUAAGUCGGAUGUGAAAUUUGGAGGCUCAACCUCCAACUUGCAUCUGAUACUGCUUCGCUAGAGACCUGGAGAGGAGUUUGGAAUUCUCGGUGUAGCAGUGAAAUGCGUAGAUUUCGAGAAGAACGCUCGCAGCGAAAGCGAAACUCUGGACAGCGUCUGACGCUGAGGCACGAAGGCUAGGGGAGCAAAGCGGG
Molecule: ribosomal RNA, 254 nt
Filed under: uncultured bacterium
Lineage: Bacteria
Description: partial 16S ribosomal RNA
Rfam family: Bacterial small subunit ribosomal RNA
Source: RNAcentral